GAUGAAGAACGUAGCGAAAUGCGAUAAGUAAUGUGAAUUGCAGAAUUCAGUGAAUCAUCGAAUCUUUGAACGCACCUUGUGCCCUUUGGCUAUUCCGAAGGGCAUGCCUGUUUGAGUAUCAUGAACACCUCAACUCUCAUGGCUUGCCGUGAUGAGCUUGGACUUUGGGGGUCUUGCUGGCCUGUGGUUGGCUCCUCUCAAAUGAAUCAGCUUAUCAGUGUUUGGUGGCAUCACAGGUGUGAUAACUAUCUACGCUUGUGGUUUUCCACCAGGUUAACCUUCAGUGAUGGAUGUUCGCUGGAGCUCAUAAAUGUCUCUUCUCAGUGAGGACAGCUCUUUGAACGUUUGAUCUCAAAUCAGGUAGGACUACCCGCUGAACUUAAGCAUAUCAAUAAGCGGAGGA
Molecule: unclassified non-coding RNA, 403 nt
Filed under: soil metagenome
Description: partial contains 5.8S ribosomal RNA, internal transcribed spacer 2, and large subunit ribosomal RNA
Rfam family: 5.8S ribosomal RNA (bases 1-121)
Source: RNAcentral